This 433-nucleotide ribosomal RNA is filed under the name uncultured bacterium. RNAcentral describes it as "partial 16S ribosomal RNA". It matches the Rfam family "Bacterial small subunit ribosomal RNA", at positions 29 to 507 of the family's 1533-position model. The record is from RNAcentral.
AACGAACGCUGGCGGCAUGCCUAACACAUGCAAGUCGAACGAGACCUUCGGGUCUAGUGGCGCACGGGUGCGUAACGCGGGGGAACCUGCCCUUAGGUUCGGAAUAACUCCCCGAAAGGGGUGCUAAUACCGGAUAAUGUCUUCGGACCAAAGAUUUAUCGCCUUUGGAUGGGCCCGCGUUGGAUUAGCUAGUUGGUAGGGUAAAAGCCUACCAAGGCGACGAUCCAUAGCUGGUCUGAGAGGAUGCUCAGCCACACUGGGACUGAGACACGGCCCAGACUCCUACGGGAGGCAGCAGUGGGGAGUAUUGGACGAUGGGCGAAAGCCUGAUCCAGCAAUGCCGCGUGAGUGAUGAAGGCCUUAGGGUUGUAAAGCUCUUUUACCCGGGAUGAUAAUGACAGUACCGGGAGAAUAAGCGCCGGCUAACUACGUG